This 406-nucleotide ribosomal RNA is filed under the name uncultured bacterium. Its description in RNAcentral is "partial 16S ribosomal RNA". It matches the Rfam family "Bacterial small subunit ribosomal RNA", at positions 30 to 526 of the family's 1533-position model. The record is from RNAcentral.
AUUGAACGCUGGCGGCAGGCCUAACACAUGCAAGUCGAACGAGUGGCGGACGGGUGAGUAAUGUCUGGGAAACUGCCCGAUGGAGGGGGAUAACUACUGGAAACGGUAGCUAAUACCGCAUACCAUCGGAUGUGCCCAGAUGGGGUUAGCUAGUAGGUGGGGUAACGGCUCACCUAGGCUAAGAUCCCUAGCUGGUCUGCGAGGAGGACCAGCCACACUGGACCUUGGACCCGGUCCAGACUCCUACGGGAGGCAGCAGUGGGGAAUAUUGCACAAUUGGGGCAAUCCUGAUGCAGCCAUGCCGCGUGUAUGAAGAAGUCCUUCGGUUUGUAAAGUACUUUCAUCGAGGAGGCGUUACUCGCAGAAGAAACACCGGCUAACUCCGUGCCAGCAGCCGCGGUAAUAC